GGAUAGGGUUGGCCACAGAAGCAAUCCAAGAACUAAUGGCGGUCACUUCUCUCCAUCAUAGAAGCUAAAAGAACUGGAGCUACAGACAGUUGUGAAUAACCAUUUGGGUCCUGGGAAUUGAACCUGUGUCCUCUGGAAGACCAGGCAGUGCCCUUAACUG
Molecule: long non-coding RNA, 160 nt
Organism: Apodemus sylvaticus (European woodmouse)
Lineage: Eukaryota; Metazoa; Chordata; Mammalia; Rodentia; Muridae
Exons: 2
Source: RefSeq, a predicted model, not a curated record